UACGAGGGGGGCGAGCGUUGUUCGGAAUUAUUGGGCGUAAAGGGUGCGUAGGCGGUUUGGUAAGUCUUAUGUGAAAUCUACAGGCUCAACUUGUAGUCUGCAUGAGAAACUGCCGGGCUUGAGUAUGGGAGAGGUGAGUGGAAUUCCUGGUGUAGCGGUGAAAUGCGUAGAUAUCAGGAGGAACACCUGCGGUGUAGACGGCUUUCUGGACCAUUGCUGACGCUGAGACACGAAAGCGUGGGUAGCAAACAGG
This 253-nucleotide ribosomal RNA is filed under the name uncultured bacterium. RNAcentral's name for it is "partial 16S ribosomal RNA". It matches the Rfam family "Bacterial small subunit ribosomal RNA", at positions 524 to 776 of the family's 1533-position model. The record is from RNAcentral.